GAAGUUUGUGUGACCGAGCACCUCGGUGCUGCAUAUCUGAUACGUUAAACUAUGUGUGUGGAUCAUGAACUGUCUAGUCGCUGUCCCCUGCCUGAUUUCGCUAGCAGCACUAGCUAGGCUGUGUAGGCGUCCCUGCUUGGCACAAGUGUUUGGCCCUGGGUCCAGCGCAUGUACUGUUUCGGAGCAUCAGACAUCCAUUUUUGGAACAUGUCAUGUCACCGCGUAUGUGCCAAGUAGCCAGAACAAGCUUUGCCUUAUUGUUAACUGUGAGGGGGGUGCGGGCCCAUUUGCUAUCCCCAUUAGCUCUUCUUCUUC
RNAcentral lists this long non-coding RNA (315 nucleotides) under Hordeum vulgare. RNAcentral describes it as "long non-coding RNA (HVUL_LNC005113)". Lineage: Eukaryota; Viridiplantae; Streptophyta; Magnoliopsida; Poales; Poaceae. The record is from RNAcentral.